AUGCACGCUGGCGGCGUGCCUAAUCCAUGCAAGUCGCGCGAACAGACGAGGGGCUUGCUCCUCUGACGUUAGCGGCGGACGGGUGAGUAACACGUGGAUAACCUACCUAUAAGACUGGGAUAACUUCGGGAAACCGGAGCUAAUACCGGAUAAUAUAUUGAACCGCAUGGUUCAAUAGUGAAAGACGGUUUUGCUGUCACUUAUAGAUGGAUCCGCGCCGCAUUAGCUAGUUGGUAAGGUAACGGCUUACCAAGGCGACGAUGCGUAGCCGACCUGAGAGGGUGAUCGGCCACACUGGAACUGAGACACGGUCCAGACUCCUACGGGAGGCAGCAGUAGGGAAUCUUCCGCAAUGGGCGAAAGCUUGACGGAGCAACGCCGCGUGAGUGAUGAAGGUCUUCGGAUCGUAAAACUCUGUUAUUAGGGAAGAACAAAUGUGUAAGUAACUAUGCACGUCUUGACGGUACCUAAUCAGAAAGCCACGGCUAACUACGUG
This 496-nucleotide ribosomal RNA is filed under the name uncultured bacterium. RNAcentral's name for it is "partial 16S ribosomal RNA". It matches the Rfam family "Bacterial small subunit ribosomal RNA", at positions 29 to 507 of the family's 1533-position model. The record is from RNAcentral.